This 445-nucleotide long non-coding RNA is filed under the name Zonotrichia albicollis (white-throated sparrow). Its description in RNAcentral is "lncRNA (ENSZALG00000009060.1)". The record is from RNAcentral. Lineage: Eukaryota; Metazoa; Chordata; Aves; Passeriformes; Passerellidae.
GUCAUGAGGAUUACAACAUUGCCUUUUCUCCUUGUAAUCAAAAACUGGAGUUCUCAGGAGAUUUUUCAGUCUCAUGGAGCUUGGGCUUUUUGAAAACUGUCAGGCACAAGAAGAUUCAUGCAAUGUUAUGAGAAUUGGCAACUUGGAGGUUCUGCAACCACUGCUCCCUCACAGCUGAGAAAACAUCCACCAAGUCUUCUUGAAGAAGACCGAAAUACCCAAGCACACCUGCAAGAACACCCAGCUGGUUCAGAUUCUCAAACAAGGUGUUAUUAUUCUGAAAGUUUUCAGAAGAAUGUCAGCUAUCUUCAGUCAGAUGUGGCCACAUCUUGUCAUUGAAGGAGGUGUCCUUGUUGCUUAAGGCAGAGGGAUGAUCUCAUCUCUUUCCUUCUCCUGUGUUUUGCUGUUUUACAGUUUGUCAAAAUCCAGGUCUAUUCUGUCUUAA